GACGAACGCUGGCGGCGUGCUUAACACAUGCCAGUCGAACGGAAAGGCCCUGCUUUUGUGGGGUGCUCGAGUGGCGAACGGGUGAGUAACACGUGAGUAACCUGCCCUUGACUUUGGGAUAACUUCAGGAAACUGGGGCUAAUACCGGAUAGGAGCUCCUGCUGCAUGGUGGGGGUUGGAAAGUUUCGGCGGUUGGGGAUGGACUCGCGGCUUAUCAGCUUGUUGGUGGGGUAGAGGCUUACCAAGGCGUUGGCGGGUAGCCGGCCUGAGAGGGUGACCGGUCACACGGGAACGGAGACAGGGGCGAGACGACGACGGGAGGCAGAAGUGGGGAAUAUUGGACAAUGGGCGGAAGCCUGAUCCAGCCAUGCCGCGUGUGUGAAGAAGGUCUUCGGAGUGUAAAGCACUUUAAGGUGGGAGGAAGGGCAGUAAGUGAAUACCUUGCUGUUUUGACGUUACCAACAGAAUAAGCACCGGCUAACUUCGUG
RNAcentral lists this ribosomal RNA (488 nucleotides) under uncultured bacterium. RNAcentral describes it as "partial 16S ribosomal RNA". It matches the Rfam family "Bacterial small subunit ribosomal RNA", at positions 28 to 507 of the family's 1533-position model. The record is from RNAcentral.